CCCUCCGACCGCGGCUAUAGCGGCGCCAUCUUGGGCGUGAGUGCGGGCGGCUGGCCGGAGGUGUCUCGGAGCUAGUCCUUCCCGACCUCUGUUCCGUGGGUCGACACCGACGUGGGUCGAGCUCUAGGCCGGCUCAGGGGGCACGCGCUGAGAUGAUGCUGAGAGGAAACCUGAAGCAAGUGCGCAUUGAGAAGAACCCGGCGCGCCUCCGCGCUCUGGAGUCGGCGGCCGGAGAGGGGGACCCAGCGGCCCUGGCGCUCGCGCUGCCGGGGGAGCCGCCGGUGCCCGCCGCGCCCGCCGGGGAGGACCGGCCGGCUGACGAGGGCGGUUUCACCAUCGACAUAAAGAGCUUUCUCAAGCCGGGCGAGAAGACGUACACGCAGCGCUGCCGCCUCUUCGUGGGGAACCUGCCCACGGACAUCACCGAGGACGACUUCAAGCGGUUGUUCGAACGCUAUGGCGAGCCCAGCGAGGUCUUCAUCAACCGCGACCGCGGCUUCGGCUUCAUCCGCCUGGAGUCCAGAACACUGGCUGAAAUUGCAAAAGCAGAGCUGGAUGGCACCAUUUUGAAGAGCAGACCUCUCCGAAUUCGUUUUGCUACACAUGGAGCAGCCCUAACUGUUAAGAACCUUUCUCCGGUGGUUUCCAAUGAGCUUCUAGAGCAAGCAUUUUCCCAGUUUGGUCCAGUAGAGAAAGCCGUUGUUGUUGUGGAUGAUCGUGGUAGAGCUACGGGAAAAGGUUUUGUGGAAUUUGCAGCAAAGCCUCCUGCACGAAAGGCUCUGGAAAGAUGUGGUGAUGGGGCGUUCUUGCUAACAACGACCCCUCGUCCGGUCAUUGUGGAGCCCAUGGAACAGUUUGAUGAUGAAGAUGGCUUGCCAGAGAAACUAAUGCAGAAAACUCAGCAGUAUCAUAAGGAAAGAGAACAGCCACCACGUUUUGCUCAGCCUGGGACAUUUGAAUUUGAAUAUGCAUCUCGAUGGAAGGCUCUGGAUGAAAUGGAGAAGCAGCAGCGCGAGCAGGUUGACAGAAACAUCCGAGAAGCAAAAGAGAAACUGGAGGCGGAGAUGGAAGCUGCCCGGCACGAGCACCAGCUGAUGCUCAUGCGGCAAGAUUUAAUGAGACGUCAAGAGGAACUCAGACGUUUGGAAGAACUCAGAAACCAAGAGCUACAAAAACGAAAGCAAAUACAGCUGAGGCAUGAGGAAGAGCACCGUCGUCGUGAAGAGGAAAUGAUCCGACACAGAGAACAGGAGGAGCUGAGGCGACAGCAGGAGGGCUUUAAGCCAAACUAUAUGGAAAAUGAGAAAAGGAAACAUGGAUGAAGCUACCUGAAAUUUGGCUUCCUGUGUGAGCCCGAAGUUGCAAGCUGAGGAAAAUUUGCCAGUGUCCUUUCAGUGGUCUUGGGGAGCAGGAAUGUCAGCCUUUCCUGAGCACAGCUUGUGAGAUGAGACCGAUGGCAUCAGACCACUGGCUUAAUAGGGUCCCAGGGCAUCUGCAUCCACAGUCAAAUCAUUCUGUGGAAGAAAUGAACAACAAGGGAGAAAUGAACCAGAAGAAUCUUGUUUUAUUUUUCAAUUUAUUACCACUCCAUUAUAAACAACCUGUGGAUAGAUGAGCAGUCAUGACACUUUAUCCAGCCCAUGAGUAAAGCUCUUCUGUACCAGUUGGGAGAAGUCAGGCCUGGAAACGCCAGGUUUGGCUGGAAAAGAGCUUCAUCACCUACAGCCACAUUCAUGAGAGUUGACCAGGUCUCUGGUAAGUUAAAUUGACAACCCAAUUCUGCAUUAUGUCUGUACCUCAGUAUGUACAUUGGAAAGUAGUAAUUGCUGAGGGGUCAUGGUUUUUAGAGUUAGGAGAAAACUGAAGAAGAAAAAUGUGUACUAAUUGGUCUUCAGUGAGUCUGGAUAAUGAGCAGUGCAAUCCCAUUUGUAGCUGAGAUCUCCUGUGGCCCUAGGAUGAAGCUCAGUUGUAGUUAUGGGGUUUGAGAUGGCUUUGGUUUCUACUCAUAGUAGUAGCAGCAAAUCUGCAAACCUUUGCUAAGGUACUGCUUGAGAAUUGGGUUUUUCAGAGCAAUCAUUAUACACACAUAUGCCAGUAUUAAACUGAAGGAUGUGAUCUGAUCAGCUGCCUUGUCAGUUGGGAGGUUCAAGACCUCAUCAUCCUUAAGCCACAAGGGUCAGAAUUUCCCCACCCAAGGGCACAUGUGCUUAGGUUCACCUGCUACAGAGAGAAGUGAGUUUAGAUGAAAGCAACUAUAUUAACCUGCAUGGCUCUACAAGUGGUUAUAUUCCCAGUGCGCUUGUGCUUGUAAAGGUGUGCUCUUAAGAUAACAGGAAUGUUACAAUCCUGGACAAAGUGCACUGCUGCUGACACAAAUCUCGCAGCUAUGAAGUCAGAUGCAGAGGAGUAUAGGAUCCAAUACAGUUGAAAAGUCUAACGCAGGUAUUGCUAUUGCUAACCCAAACACAUUUCACAUCACCUUUUUGCUGAAGGUCCUGAGACUUGAGAUAGAAAAUAGAAAACAUUGUAUUUUAUUGAGGACACUGUAGGAAAAGUCAGUUUAACCCUGAAAUGUCUAUAUAGUGUAUGUGGUUUGCUCUAACUAUCCACAGGUUCUGUCUGCAUCUAGGGCACAAAAAAGUUCCCCAAAAGCACACCAGGAACCCCCUACAUAGAAUUAAUAUUAAUACCUAGCAUUUACUUUGUUUUAGGUACUGUUAGUCCAGAGAUGAUUAAAAGUAAAAGGUGGGACUCAAAGGGGUUAAAUGCAGAUACAUCAUUUCAUAUAAAGGACUUGAGCAUCGGGAUUCUGGAACCCAGUCCCCUGUGGAUGCUGAGAGAGAGGACAUAUGCGACAUUUCUGAAAAUUGUUCAUUAAAAUUUAACUCAAUCAUAAAA
This is an RNA transcript of Cervus elaphus (red deer), 2898 nucleotides long. It is a transcript of the gene named paraspeckle component 1, with no coding region annotated. The transcript has 11 exons. NCBI's taxonomy places the organism in Eukaryota, Metazoa, Chordata, Mammalia, Artiodactyla, Cervidae. The record is from RefSeq and is a predicted model, not a curated record.